This 57-nucleotide non-coding RNA is filed under the name unclassified sequences. The record is from RNAcentral.
AUCUUAAUGUAGCCAGCGUAAGCUGAAGGUGGCAAGCCCUAUAAUACAGAGCCGAAA